CAUGCUUAAUUUGAGUGGACUAUCUGACUUUGUAUCUCCGCACAGCCACCUCCUUGGAGCUUCCUUCACUGAUUUGGUUACGGAGACACUGCUGGCUCACCGCAGGUUCAUAUUGCAGGACAUGACCAGUAGCCGAAAGCAAUUGACAUUAUCUCGACAUCUACAAUAUUUGGAGCAGCUAACCUCCUAUCAAGAAGUAUUUGCGUGAAGGAGCUUGUGUAACGAUAUAAUCUGAAAUCCGAUUGAUCUCAUCAUGGAUAAGUCAUGGAUCAACAAUGAUGCUAGGCACACCAAGGAAUACUUGCAAGGGGUGAACAGUUUUCUAGCUUUUGCAUUUAGAAAUUCAGCGGUAGGAAACAAGAUAUUAUGCCCUUGUCAAAAGUGUGUUAACUCAUUUUGGAAGGUGGCAAGUGUUGUACGUGAGCACUUAAUAUGUGAUGGGUUUCUAAAAGGGUACACAACAUGGAACUUGCAUGGAGAACCUACCUCGUCUGUGAAUCAUGGGAACUUUGAUGGUGUUGAGGUAACCGAGCAAUGUAAUGAGGAUGAUGACAUAUCUUGUUUGCUUAGAGACCUAGCUGCUGGUUUAGAUGAUAGAGGAGAUUUUGAGGACAACAAUUCUGUUCUAGAACCUUCCGCUGAGCUACUUGCCCUUCAAAAGUUGGUGGCAGAUAAUAGCAAAGAGUUAUACCCUAAUUGCAAGAAAUAUACACAGCUACAUUUCCUUAUUAGAUUAUUGCACCUCAAACUCCUAGGAGGAUGGACUGAUAGAUCUUUUAAUAUGCUGCUAGAUCUGCUUAAUGAUGCACUCCCUGAGGGUUCAGCACUCCCUAGAAAUUUUCAUGAGGCUAAGAAAUUGGUGAAAUCCAUUGGAAUUGGGUACAUUAGUAUCCAUGCUUGUGAAAAUGAUUGCAUUCUAUAUUGGAAGGAUAAUUUAGAUUUAAAUUCAUGCCCAAAAUGUAAGGUUUCACGGUGGAAAUCAGCAAGAAAGAGUCUAGAUGGAAAGCAAACAUAUAAGGUUCCUAGGAAGGUUCUUCGCUACUUCCCAAUUAAGAAAUGUCUCCAAAGGUUAUUUCUGUGCAUGAUGAAGGCCGAAACAAAGAUGUACUUCUAAGGCAUCCUGCAGAUUCACCAUUGUGGAAGGACUUUGAUAAAAAAAAUCCAGAAUUUGCUAUGGAUAGCCGGAAUCUCCGUAUAGCAUUCGCCACUGAUGGUUUUAAUCCAUUUAGAACCAUGAAUGUCAGCUAUAGUGUUUGGCCUGGUAUUUGUAUUCCCUACA
This is an RNA transcript of Panicum virgatum (switchgrass), 1279 nucleotides long. RefSeq lists it as uncharacterized. NCBI's taxonomy places the organism in Eukaryota, Viridiplantae, Streptophyta, Magnoliopsida, Poales, Poaceae. The transcript is spliced from 4 exons. The record is from RefSeq and is a predicted model, not a curated record.